GGUUGGAGGAUCGGUCCAUUUUCUAUGGAUGCAUCCGUUUGAGAGGGAAUGACAAUGGUGGAGAUGUUGAUGCUGAUGGUGGUCUCUUGAUUUUCACCUAUCUUGGUUAACCUUUAGGUCAAUAUGAGAAACUUUGAUACCUACAGAAAGAUGAGCUUUAUGCGGUUGAACUAUUUGUACUGAUGAACUGCGAUGAGAUAUUAUUGUGCAUUGAGAUGUUCAAAGAUAUGAUUAAAAGAGAACAGUACAGUAUAUUUGAGAAAGAAUUGGAGCAAGUCUGUGAUGCAUCAUGUCGUAACGGGGUUAAAUAAUAUGUCUGCCAACAUGCGAGUCAAAUUGAUUCUCAUGUUGUCGACAUCUCUCAUGGACUUGGUCGUAUGGCAAGGUAUUUCAAAGGUUAUUAUGUCAAUGGAUACAGGUUUCACACAUUGGAUUAUGGUCACAAUCAUAAAAUGAUGAAUAGUGGUGUUUGCAUUAAGAAAAGUUGUUAUAAUGAUUACGAUUAUGACUUUUAUGGAUUGUUGGUCAAUACUUUGGUGUCAACAAUUGAGUCAUGUUGUUUAAAUGCCAUUGCUUUGAUAUCGACAAAGGUGUUUAAAUAGAUCCUAUUCAUGGGUUGAUUGUCACAAGUCAAUUCUUGCUAGCAAUGAGUUUUUGUUUUAAUUGAA
Long non-coding RNA from Theobroma umbraticum, 668 nucleotides. RefSeq lists it as uncharacterized. The record is from RefSeq and is a predicted model, not a curated record. NCBI's taxonomy places the organism in Eukaryota, Viridiplantae, Streptophyta, Magnoliopsida, Malvales, Malvaceae.